UGUAGGCUGAAACUCGCCUACAUGAAGCUGGAGUUACUAGUAAUCGCGAAUCAGAAUGUCGCGGUGAAUACGUUCCCGGGUCUUGUACACACCGCCCGUCACACCAUGAGAGUUGGCAAUACCCGAAGUCCGUGAGCUAACCGCAAGGAGGCAGCGGCCGAAGGUAGGGUCAGCGAUUGGGGUGAAGUCGUAACAAGGUAGCCGUAGGAGAACCUGCGGCUGGAU
This 225-nucleotide ribosomal RNA is filed under the name Clostridium perfringens. RNAcentral describes it as "partial 16S ribosomal RNA". It matches the Rfam family "Bacterial small subunit ribosomal RNA", at positions 1299 to 1523 of the family's 1533-position model. Lineage: Bacteria; Bacillati; Bacillota; Clostridia; Eubacteriales; Clostridiaceae. The record is from RNAcentral.